UGGUGCUUUGACUCUUUUUUUUGAUUUAAGAAUUCUGAAUCUGCUAGAUAGAACAUUGUACCUAAUUCCUUGCACUUAAAAUAUUCAGAGACCGGUAGAUACCAGACACAUUCAACACACAGCUGCCACCCAAUAAAACACCACCUGAUGGGAAGUGACUGAUAGUAAUCUUGGUCAUCAACAGGAUAGGAUUUUAGCAACACUGUGGAAACACACCUCUGAAUGAAUCUAGGAGGGUGUUUCCAGAAAGAUUUAACUAAGGAGGGAGACCCACUUCCAGUGUAAGAGGCACCAUCCUAGAGGGUGGGGGCCUGGCCUGAGGAAAGGGGACUCAGAAAGCAGACUGAGUAAUGGCAUCCUCCACCCUCCCACUCUCUUCCUGAUUGCAGAAGCAAUGAGAGAAGAGAGCUCUCCCCACUGCCACCAUGCUUCCUCCACAGUAACAGACUGUAUCUGCUCCCUCUGUAACUAAAAUAAACCUUUUCUCUAAUUUGCUUCUUGUCAGGUGUUAGGUAACAGCAACAUGAAAAGUUACAAAUAUAUUGGCUUUCCGGAAAUGUAACUCUGUUACAGUGUUUCCUCCUAAGGAUUCUGAAAGGAGAAAGGAGAGUUACAAGGUGUACUGUUUACAUUUCUGAUCUAACCAACAAAAUGGCUAACACAAACAACUUAAUGGAGGAGUUUUCUGAGCUCACAAUUUGAGUGGGUUUACUCCCUGUGACUUGGUUUCAUGUACUUGAGUAGAACACAAUGGUAGCUGCUUUUGUGACAAAGGAGCUUCAUCAGGGCAGACAAUGAGCUGAUGGAAAAAGAUACAGGAAGGAAGAAGUGUAAUGGCUUGGGAGGCAUCAUUCAGACUGAUAAUGGAUUCAAUUGCCUGAAGAUCUGUCACAUUCUGCAUCCUUUUAUCACUCUCUUAGUGUGACAUAAACAACAUCAUGGACAAAAAGGACAAUGCCUUGCUGAUGUCUGGUGCUUGGUGUCUUCCUUUCUCCCCUGACAAGUGUUGCUUGUUUUGAUUCACAAGAAGUUUUCAUCAAUAAUGCUUUAUUAAAAUGAUAACUUAAAA
This is a non-coding RNA of Rattus norvegicus (Norway rat), 1069 nucleotides long. NCBI's taxonomy places the organism in Eukaryota, Metazoa, Chordata, Mammalia, Rodentia, Muridae. The record is from RefSeq and is a predicted model, not a curated record.